RNAcentral lists this ribosomal RNA (492 nucleotides) under uncultured bacterium. RNAcentral describes it as "partial 16S ribosomal RNA". It matches the Rfam family "Bacterial small subunit ribosomal RNA", at positions 29 to 507 of the family's 1533-position model. The record is from RNAcentral.
AGUGAACGCUGGCGGUAGGCCUAACACAUGCAAGUCGAACGGCAGCACAGUAAGAGCUUGCUCUUACGGGUGGCGAGUGGCGGACGGGUGAGGAAUACAUCGGAAUCUACUUUUUCGUGGGGGAUAACGUAGGGAAACUUACGCUAAUACCGCAUACGACCUACGGGUGAAAGCAGGGGAUCUUCGGACCUUGCGCGAUUGAAUGAGCCGAUGUCGGAUUAGCUAGUUGGCGGGGUAAAGGCCCACCAAGGCGACGAUCCGUAGCUGGUCUGAGAGGAUGAUCAGCCAAACUGGAACUGAGACACGGUCCCGACUCCUAAGGGAGGCAGCAGUGGGGAAUAUUGGAAAAUGGGCGGAAGCCUGAUCCAGCCAUACCGGGUGGGGGAAGAAGGCCUUCGGGUUGUAAAGCCCUUUUGUUGGGAAAGAAAAGCAGCAGGUUAAUACCCCGCUGUUCUGACGGUACCCAAAGAAUAAGCACCGGCUAACUUCGUG